RNAcentral lists this ribosomal RNA (254 nucleotides) under uncultured bacterium. RNAcentral's name for it is "partial 16S ribosomal RNA". It matches the Rfam family "Bacterial small subunit ribosomal RNA", at positions 524 to 776 of the family's 1533-position model. The record is from RNAcentral.
UACGUAGGGUGCAAGCGUUGUCCGGAAUUAUUGGGCGUAAAGAGCUUGUAUGCGGCUCGUCGCGUCGGGUGUGAAAACUUGCGGCUUAACCGCAAGCCUGCACCCGAUACGGGCGGGCUAGAGUUCGGCAGGGGAGACUGGAAUUCCUGGUGUAGCGGUGGAAUGCGCAGAUAUCAGGAGGAACACCGGUGGCGAAGGCGGGUCUCUGGGCCGAUACUGACGCUGGAGAAGCGAAAGCGUGGGGAGCGAACAGG